Long non-coding RNA from Hirundo rustica (Barn swallow), 1191 nucleotides. RefSeq lists it as uncharacterized. The record is from RefSeq and is a predicted model, not a curated record. Lineage: Eukaryota; Metazoa; Chordata; Aves; Passeriformes; Hirundinidae. The transcript is spliced from 3 exons.
CAGGUGCUGUCACAUGAAGGCUUUGUGGAUGGUUUUCUAAAGAUGCUGUUUCAGCCCAGAAUCACCAACCAGAGCAGCUCAAGGACAUCUGCAUUGAGCCAGAGGAUAACUUUAUGUGACUACAUACCCAGUGGAGUGUGGCUCUGGAGAUCCUACUGCAGUCUGCUAGGGAAGAUGGAUUGCUGUCACUCUGACCUGCAAGCUCUUCUCCACAUUUGCAGUGCGAUGUGAAAAGGUCACAGGGAGUCUCAGACUCCUGAUCAGUCUGGUUUUUGGUAACACUGUAAGGUUCUAAGCCAAUGGCAGGGGGUGGAACAAGAGCUGAAAGUGUUUGUGACACACAAAGGAGUAACAUUCACACCCACCACCAGCCCAGGAUCUCACCGUACCCACUCUGCUCCUGCCCGGAUGCACAUCACCCUCAGACAUCCCUGCAGAGGGGUCAGAAAGCAGCAGCUGCCCACGUGGACCUUUGCCCAGGGAGCUGGACCUCCCAGUAUCAGCUUGUGGAACCACAGAACCAGCUCCGUCUAUCCCAGCCCACGGGCCAGGCAGCACAGCUCCUGGUAGCUGUGUGUGCAGCGGGACAAGUGGGAAGAGGGGAACAAAGGCUCUCUGCCUGAAGUGCUGCCUCAGACCCCCUUGGGGACAUGGCAGAGUUGUUUGUUCUCCUGCACACAGGAGCAUCUUGGAGAAAUGUGGCAAUACCAGUUCUGCUGAGAACAAUUAGGGACAGACGACCCUUUAACCUAUUCUUUGCUUUCCCAGCAAUCAGUUGUAGUUUACCAGUACAACCCCAGACACCAUUCUUUGCCUGAAUGAAGAUGACAUUGUCCUGCCUUUAGCAUAGAUAUUAAAAAAAAAAAAAAAUUAAAAAUCACACUAAGUUGAAAGGAGCAACUUCUCUCAAGGAUGCAGGACUUUAUUGUUAACCAGUUACUUAUUCAACUAAGAAAACAGUUGGACCAUGGAGACCUAAUGAGCUGGUAAUUAUUCUCAAGCUUUGCCUGAUCUGGAUCACAAGACAUAUCUUUAUUCUCUAUCAGUAAAAUCCCAUUGCAGGCAAGGGAACAAGAAUCAUCUGUUAAACUGGAUCCUGUUCACAGUCCCAAUAUUCUGGAACAAUGGGUGUUUUCACACUCAGGUCUGCAGAAACAUCUCACUGCAAUUACUUUAUUACGAUUAAUCACU